Micropterus salmoides (largemouth bass) is the source of this 1939-nucleotide long non-coding RNA. RefSeq lists it as uncharacterized. The record is from RefSeq and is a predicted model, not a curated record. NCBI's taxonomy places the organism in Eukaryota, Metazoa, Chordata, Actinopteri, Centrarchiformes, Centrarchidae. The transcript is spliced from 5 exons.
CCAUGAUUUCUUGAGAUAAGUUGUACAGAAUUUCUUCCAGUAUCAAGUAAAAGCUUUCUUGAAGGGUUCUUUGGGUUUGGAAUAAUGUUAUGUUAAUGUUUGCUGGGUCACGUUAGGUAAAACAUUAACGGUCGACCGUGUCGCCAGUGAAUGUUACAUUUUUCAAACAGUUGUAACGCUGUCCUUUCUGCUGUUUUAUGUUGCUCUUGCAAAAAAAGUGCUAGCUUGUAAUUUAAUGGUAACUUUAAGUUAACUUUAAACCCACGGAGGAAAUGUUCUGUGGCAAGGCAGUUAAGACAUACGGGGUUAACGAUACCUGCUUCAUUGUAAACCACGUUGUUUAUUCAAGUGAUUUUAUUUAUUUUUUUCACUGGAGAGAAAAUGUAUCUGACCUGCUACAGUUACUGUCGGGCUGCUGUUUAGUUACUGCUUUAAAUGUGCAAUAGCGUUACAUAAACGCCAAUGUCAAGAUACCAAAGAUCUAACCUUAACGUUAAUAGCUCACCUUAAGGAGCAUAUUGUGGAAUGACGUCGUCCAGUGAAAGGAUGCUCACAUAUAUUCAAGUUAACCGCCCAGAUGUAACAGAAACACAGAUAUUUUGCUACAGACUGUACUAAGUUACAGGGAUCUCAGCAUCAUCUGUUCCAGUUGAACCAGAUGAUGCUGAACCAGAUAGCCCUCAAGUGUAAGUUGUGUACAAAGACAGGCAGAAUUUCAGUGAUCUUUUUCUCAGUUUCCGCUACCUGCCUUGAACAUACAAAACACUGUUGAUGAGAAAACUAUACAUGAGUUGGGUCAGACAUACUUUGAGUAAAUUGACUGCUAAAAAAUUACAUAUUGUUAUCAGAUGAGGACGUCACCAAAGUUUGUGAGUCUGUCAGGAAUUUGAUCUGUUCUCCGCAUGUCAUACAGGCCCAAUGAGGACAGCAUACUUAAGAAACACAGUGGUGAGAAGCGAAGAUAUGCAGCAAAGGGCCCAAGCCAGAAUCUAACUUUGGCUGCUGCAAAACCAUUAUGUGUUCUUAAACAUCUGCCAGUGGUUGCACAUGACAUGGACCUCAUCAACCUCAAGGAUAAAUAGAGCUACAACCUUCCUGAGUGUCCUGAGGUCCACAGGCUGUGGAGAGGCAUAGCAGCUGUUUAUACGAAAUACCUUGGUUCUGUCUACUGCUGGAUUUUUCAAUAGAUUUCAGCAUUUAUGUCAGAGAGGAUGACACCAGUCGACAGUGAACACCUGGUUGACAACUUGUAAGUCUUCAAGCAGAACACACCUGCUCAAAGUUCCAGUUUCCUAAACUUCGUACCAUGUCUGUAUGAGACUCUCCCACCUGUCUUCAAUCAUGUCAGGACCCAAUGACUCCAACACCAGUCUUGUGAGGCUCAUUAGAGGGAGGAUCAUGCCAGUUCACCAUCAACAUAUGAUGGACAACAUGUGAGUGGUGACAGUACACUUUGAAGUUCAAGUUUCCUGAACAUCAAGUCUGUGUGAGACUCAGUCCCAUGUUGAGCGCCCUGUUCAUUCAAGUCUGGACGCAGUGACUCAUCACUCUUGAUCAACCUGGGUCAAGUGGCUAAUUUCAUAUUUGGUGUGUAUGGACACCUGUUUUUUCAAGAUCUCAUCACUGCUUUGUGAGUAUACUGAACAAGUUGUUGGAUCUGUUCAAUCUGUUUUCCAAAAGGUUGUGUACAUGCAAAAACAGUUUCUUAAAGUUUAUUAAUGAUAGUCUGUACAUUGGUUUGCAGUGGGCUUUAUUUGUUAUGUCCUUUGCAUAAUUUAAGUCUUUGUAAAUUUAAGUGGUUGACUGUAAAAUUCGUAGCCACCAACUUUAUGGCCUGAUGUAUUGUAUGUAGCUCAUUUUUUGCAAUGAAAUUCUGGCAACCACUCCUGCUAUUAAUAUACUGUAAAGUUGAACUUAAUAAAUGCCGUAAUAUAUCAUA